CAGCCCGAGAGGGUGCCCCCCGCGACUCUAAAGAACCGAGGGGGCCUAACUGCUAGUCCGCGGCCCGCCGCGGGCGACGCUACCCAAUUGCGGGGAACCCCUAAAGAUCUCGACACCAAGCGCCCUCUGGAAACGGGGGGCGUGGCCGGGCUAGCAACCCAGGGUAUGGUAACAGCUCGAGAUAUGAAGCCCCGUCUCCCGGGGCCGAAAUGGGCAACCUGCAGCCAAGUCCUUCGUCGGGCGGCCAUGCCGCACUCGACAUGGAUGCUGUUCACAGGCCAAAUGGUAGCGGGUGGACGCCUUCGGGCGCCCGCUCAAGAUAUGGUCGGGCACGCGCAGAAAUGCGCCUGCGAGUCGCAAAGCUACGCCGGGGCCGGGAUCGGGCUCGGUAGUAACUAUGACAUUUUCAGAUAGGGGGUCUCACGUGACCACCCGAGUCUUGGCAGCGUUCCGUAGGUGAACCUGCGGAAGGAUCAUUAAUGAUGGGUUGCCCCGGUGUCGCCUGGCGGCGCCGGGUGCAUCCACUCACCACCCCUUGCCAUAUCGUCGCGCCGAACCCGCCGUGUGCCUACAGCGCCGGCGGAUCGUGUCGCUCCUAUUUCGGUCGUCACUGCCCGGUGCCGCGCUCCCGUCUGCCCAGUUGAUCGCGGGCUGAUGGGGGUUGGCAUCGACGGCGGUGCGGCCGCCAGCAAAGCCCUGCACGCCUGGCGUGCGCAAGCAUGAAGUCUGAGAGCUGGUUCUGAACCACAUUACAACUUUCAACAACGGAUCUCUUGGCUCUGGCAACGAUGAAGAACGCAGCGAAAUGCGAUAAGUAAUGCGAAUUGCAGAAUCCGUGAGUCAUCGAAUCUUUGAACGCACAUUGCGCCCCCCGGUAUUCCGAGGGGCACGCCUGUCCGAGCGCCAUCACACCCCCCACGCAACGCGUGAUGUUGGGCGAUGCGGGAGACCGCACGCCUGGAACUCAUAGGCGGCCGCCUCGGCCCUGCGAGCGUAGCAAGACGGAUCCCCCUGGGGAACCCAGCGCGCGCAGGCCGCGGGCGGCUCAGCCCCCAGCUAUGGCGUACGCGCCCAUCAGUUUUGGCCUCGGAUCAGGCGGGGAUACCCGCUGAACUUAAGCAUAUCAAUAAGCGGAGGAAAAGAAACCAACAGGGAUUGCCCCAGUAACGGCGAGUGAAGCGGCAACAGCUCAAAUUUGAAAUCUGGCGCCUUCAGCGUCCGAGUUGUACUUUGCAGAGGGUGGUCCAGACAACGGGCCGGUCCAAGUUCCUUGGAACAGGAUACCGCAGAGGGUGAGAGUCCCGUAUCCGACCGGUGCCAGCGUCGCUGUGAUCGCCCCUCGACGAGUCGAGUUGUUUGGGAAUGCAGCUCUAAGUGGGUGGUAAAUUCCAUCUAAGGCUAAAUACCGGCCAGAGACCGAUAGCGAACAAGUAGAGUGAUCGAAAGAUGAAAAGCACUUUGAAAAGAGAGUCAAACAGUACGUGAAAUUGUUGAAAGGGAAGCGUAUGCGACCAGACUUGACCGCGGUGGCACUCCGCCCGCCUUCUGGCGGGUGUACUCCGCCGCGGCCAGGCCAGCAUCGGCCCUGGCGGCGGGACAAAGGCGGCGGGAACGUGGCCCCCCUCGGGGGGUGUUAUAGCCCGCCGUGUAAUGCCGCCAGCCGGGGCCGAGGACCGCGC
This 1679-nucleotide ribosomal RNA is filed under the name Fusicladium sp. PamM20335P30. RNAcentral's name for it is "eukaryotic LSU rRNA". The stretch from base 1082 to 1679 matches the Rfam family "Eukaryotic large subunit ribosomal RNA", at positions 1 to 499 of the family's 3401-position model. The record is from RNAcentral. Lineage: Eukaryota; Fungi; Ascomycota; Dothideomycetes; Venturiales; Sympoventuriaceae.